This 378-nucleotide unclassified non-coding RNA is filed under the name plant metagenome. RNAcentral's name for it is "partial contains 5.8S ribosomal RNA, internal transcribed spacer 2, and large subunit ribosomal RNA". The stretch from base 1 to 105 matches the Rfam family "5.8S ribosomal RNA", at positions 50 to 154 of the family's 154-position model. The record is from RNAcentral.
GAAAUGCGAUAAGUAAUGUGAAUUGCAGAAUUCAGUGAAUCAUCGAAUCUUUGAACGCACCUUGCGCUCCUUGGUAUUCCUUGGAGCAUGCCUGUUUGAGUAUCAUGAAAUCUUCAAAGUAAAUCUUUUGUUAACUCAAUUGGUUUCUACUUUGGUAUUGGAGGUCUUUGCAGCUUCACACCUGCUCCUCUUUGUUCAUUAGCUGGAUCUCAGUGUUAUGCUUGGUUCCACUCGGCGUGAUAAGUUAUCUAUCGCUGAGGACACUGUAAGAGGUGGCCAAGGUAAAUGCAGAUGAACCGCUUCUAAUAGUCCAUUGACUUGGACAAUACUUUUUUGAUCUGAUCUCAAAUCAGGUAGGACUACCCGCUGAACUUAAGC